RNAcentral lists this ribosomal RNA (511 nucleotides) under uncultured Candida. Its description in RNAcentral is "eukaryotic LSU rRNA". It matches the Rfam family "Eukaryotic large subunit ribosomal RNA", at positions 62 to 575 of the family's 3401-position model. Lineage: Eukaryota; Fungi; Ascomycota; Saccharomycetes; Saccharomycetales. The record is from RNAcentral.
AAACCAACAGGGAUUGCCUCAGUAACGGCGAGUGAAGCGGCAAAAAGCUCAAAUUUGAAAUCUAACACUUUCAGUGUUCGAGUUGUAAUUUGAAGAAAGUUUCUCUGAGUAGUCCUUUAUCUAUGUUCCUUGGAACAGGACGUCAUAGAGGGUGAGAAUCCCGUAUGAUUUUGGAUACUAUUCUUUGUGAGAUUCUUUCGAAGAGUCGAGUUGUUUGGGAAUGCAGCUCUAAGUGGGUGGUAAAUUCCAUCUAAAGCUAAAUAUUGGCGAGAGACCGAUAGCGAACAAGUACAGUGAUGGAAAGAUGAAAAGAACUCUGAAGAGAGAGUGAAAAAGUACGUGAAAUUGCUGAAAGGGAAGGGCUUUAGGUCAGACUUGGUGUUUAAAUGAUUAUCUUCUCUUUUUGAGUUGUGCACUCGUUUUCACUGGGUCCAAUAUCAGUUUUUGUGGUAGAGCACCUACUGGAAUGUAGCUUUCUUCGGAUGAGUGUUAUAGCCUUUAGACGUAUCUU